UCCAAACCUUCUAGAUUUCAGCUUAUGAUAAGUUCCUUUAGGGAAACGUUCUUGUCUUAAGUGGACGAGAACCUGAUCGCCUUCUUCAAAUUCUUGUACGCGCCGAUGCUGGUUGGCUGUAUAGGCAUAUGAUGCAUUGCUGUCUUUUAAGGCAGCUUUCACCUCUGUAUGAAUUUUCCUGAUGUGAUCAGCAAACAAUUCCCCUUCAGCACUUACUCUAGCCUCUUGGGGCAAGGGCACCAAAUCGAGU
This 250-nucleotide long non-coding RNA is filed under the name Jatropha curcas. RNAcentral's name for it is "long non-coding RNA (JCUR_LNC002744)". The record is from RNAcentral. Lineage: Eukaryota; Viridiplantae; Streptophyta; Magnoliopsida; Malpighiales; Euphorbiaceae.